AAAGAAGUGGCGCAGCUGGUAGCGCACAUGGCUUGUAACCAUGAUGUCGCAGGUUCAAAUCCUGUCUUC
RNAcentral lists this transfer RNA (69 nucleotides) under Mordavella massiliensis. RNAcentral's name for it is "tRNA-Thr". It matches the Rfam family "tRNA". From Rfam's summary of the family: Transfer RNA (tRNA) molecules are approximately 80 nucleotides in length. Their secondary structure includes four short double-helical elements and three loops (D, anti-codon, and T loops). The record is from RNAcentral. Lineage: Bacteria; Bacillati; Bacillota; Clostridia; Eubacteriales; Clostridiaceae.